Molecule: ribosomal RNA, 649 nt
Filed under: uncultured fungus
Lineage: Eukaryota; Fungi
Description: eukaryotic LSU rRNA
Rfam family: 5.8S ribosomal RNA (bases 213-366)
Source: RNAcentral
UCCGUAGGUGAACCUGCGGUUGGAUCAUUUUCGAUCAGCACCCUGUCAAAGGGUCGAUCCACAACUGUGAACUUUGUGUUUUUGCGGCAGAGCAGUGUGAGGCAAAUCACCGUGGGUUGUGCACGCCCACCUUGACGUCGCGGAUCACCUUUGCCGCUGAACAAACCUAUGCUUUUUGACUGAUUCAUCACUUUGAUGUGAAAAUCAAAAACAACUUUCGACAACGGAUCUCUUGGCUCUCGCAACGAUGAAGAACGCAGCGAAAUGCGAUAAGUAAUGUGAAUUGCAGAAUUCCGUGAAUCAUCGAAUCUUUGAACGCACAUUGCGCUUUCUGGUAUUCCGGAGAGCAUGCCUGUCUGAGAACCGAAAACAUCUCACAUCUUACGGUGUGGAUCUGGGUCGUCCGCAUUCUGCGGUGACCCGAAAAAGCAUAGCUGAUCCGCUCACGAAACCAUGUUUCGCAAGCAUCUUUAGUGUGAAAAUUCACUAUCAAUGCAGGCGUGCUCGGAGGUAGUGUGCUGGACCGGCGUUCGUCAGUCACAUUGUGAUUUUCGAAGGAACACCUUGGAUCCGGAGGGUCUCCAGGAUCAGGGCAAGGACUACCCGGCUGGAACUUAAGGCAUAUCAAUAAGGGGAGGGGGAAGGUCGG